This 428-nucleotide ribosomal RNA is filed under the name Eucteniza cabowabo. RNAcentral describes it as "partial 16S ribosomal RNA". It matches the Rfam family "Archaeal large subunit ribosomal RNA", at positions 1923 to 2669 of the family's 2987-position model. The record is from RNAcentral. Lineage: Eukaryota; Metazoa; Arthropoda; Arachnida; Araneae; Euctenizidae.
UUUUAAAUGAAAUUAUAUUUAGUAAGACCUGCUCAAUGAUUUUAAAUAGCCGCUCCUAUGUGCUAAGGUAGCGCAAUAAAUAGCCUUUUAAUUGAAGGCCAGUAUGAAGGGUUUUACAUGUGAUUAUCUUUAUUAAUUUUAUUACUUUAAUUUUUCUUUAAAGUAAAAAGACUUUAAUAAUUAAAGGGACGACAAGACCCUAUCGAGCUUUACUUUUGUUUUACUGGGAGGGUAAAAAACUAUAUCUUUUUGUUUUUUUUUUUUCUUAUCCUAGAAAAAUUAGACUAAAAAGUUACCGUAGGGAUAACAGCAUAAUUUCUUUUUAGAGACCUUUUCAUAAAAAAAGAUUAUGACCUCGAUGUUGAAUAUUUUAUCUUUUUGGAGCAAACACUAAAAAAGAAAGUCUGUUCGACUUUUAAAACAUUACA